GACGAACGCUGGCGGCGUGCUUAACACAUGCAAGUCGAACGGAAAGGCCCUGCUUUUGUGGGGUGCUCGAGUGGCGAACGGGUGAGUAACACGUGAGUAACCUGCCCUUGACUUUGGGAUAACUUCAGGAAACUGGGGUAAUACCGGAUAGGAGCUCCUGCUGCAUGGUGGGGGUUGGAAAGUUUCGGCGGUUGGGGAUGGACUCGCGGCUUAUCAGCUUGUUGGUGGGGUAGUGGCUUACCAAGGCUUUGACGGGUAGCCGGCCUGAGAGGGUGACCGGCCACAUUGGGACUGAGAUACGGCCCAGACUCCUACGGGAGGCAGCAGUGGGGAAUAUUGCACAAUGGGCGGAAGCCUGAUGCAGCAACGCCGCGUGCGGGAUGACGGCCUUCGGGUUGUAAACCGCUUUCGCCUGUGACGAAGCGUGAGUGACGGUAAUGGGUAAAGAAGCACCGGCUAACUACGUG
RNAcentral lists this ribosomal RNA (467 nucleotides) under uncultured bacterium. RNAcentral's name for it is "partial 16S ribosomal RNA". It matches the Rfam family "Bacterial small subunit ribosomal RNA", at positions 28 to 507 of the family's 1533-position model. The record is from RNAcentral.